UUCCAUCGCGCUUACCUGCAGUCGCACGGGCAGGGGUAACUCUGUCAGUGGCGGACGGGUGAGUAACGCGUAGGUAUCUAUCCUUGGGUGGGGGACAACCACGGGAAACUGUGGCUAAUACCGCAUGACGACCCUGAUCGAGAGGUUGGGGUCCAAAGGCCGCAAGGUCGCCUGGGGAGGAGCCUGCGUCCGAUUAGCUUGUUGGUGGGGUAACGGCCUACCAAGGCUCCGAUCGGUAGCUGGUCUGAGAGGAUGAUCAGCCACACUGGGACUGAGACACGGCCCAGACUCCUACGGGAGGCAGCAGUGGGGAAUAUUGGACAAUGGGCGAAAGCCUGAUCCAGCAAUGCCGCGUGGGUGAAGAAGGUCUUCGGAUUGUAAAGCCCUUUCGACGGGGACGAUGAUGACGGUACCCGUAGAAGAAGCCCCGACUAACUUCGUGCCAGCAGCCGCGGUAAUACGUAGGGGGCUAGCGUUGUCCGGAUUUAUUGGGCGUAAAGCGCGUGUAGGCGGCCAGAUAGGUCUGCUGUGAAAACUCGAGGCUCAACCUCGAGCUGUCGGCGGAAACCAUUUGGCUAGAGUCCGGAAGAGGAGAGUGGAAUUCCCGGUGUAGCGGUGAAAUGCGCAGAUAUCGGGAAGAACACCAGUGGCGAAGGCGGCUCUCUGGGACGGUACUGACGCUGAGACGCGAAAGCGUGNGGAGCANACAGGAUUAGAUACCCUGGUAGUCCACGCCGUAAACGAUGGGUGCUAGGUGUGGGGAGUGUCGACUCUCUCCGUGCCGCAGCUAACGCAUUAAGCACCCCGCCUGGGGAGUACGGCCGCAAGGCUAAAACUCAAUGAAAUUUU
Molecule: ribosomal RNA, 849 nt
Filed under: uncultured bacterium
Lineage: Bacteria
Description: bacterial SSU rRNA
Rfam family: Bacterial small subunit ribosomal RNA
Source: RNAcentral